AAAACCAAGAGUCAGACGCUUAACCAGCUGAACCAGCCACGCACCCCAAAACGGGGCAUUUUGAUGAGGCUACUUUGAGUUAGCCCUUGCAUCAAAAUGACCACACGAAAAUGCAGACAUAGUGUCUCAAAUUACCAAAUAACAUACAGCACAGACAUCCCUGUCUCCAUAUCCUCUUCUGCACCUCAUGCCACUCUCAGCCCAAGUCCGGGCUCUGCCCUAGAAGCAAUCCUCAGCCAUCUCAGAAAACACUCCAUUUUUAAUCUUUCCCAGUCACACACUCCACCCCAGGAGUAGGAAUUGGGGACAAGAUGAAAAUCUUUGCUUUGUACACUGCUUGAUGAUUUAGAAAGGAGGAGAAUUUUAUGUUUUACUUAUCAUAGUUUAAUGUGAAAAAGUUCUUCAAUCAGUAUGGCCACAUGAAAGCAGCUCGGUCAUAAUGCUGUUUGGCUAAAACUGGCUGUGCCCAGCAGCCACGGCAUGAUGUCACUUCCUCUCUAACAGCGACCAGUGCUCGACCAGCCUGAAGAACAUGUGAGGCUCUACUGUCAACCUGGGAGUGGUGGGCCGUGAGGGCCAGGAAGCCCAGUGCUGCCCUAGACCCUCUUCAGGUUCAGGGGCAGGGCCGGCAUGUGCUCAGCAGGCGCUGCUCUUGGUCACAGCCCUCGCUGCUCUUUGGUCUGGCUGGCCACAGAGAAUGGCCUGUGGAGACUUGAAACUGGUCAAAAAACCCCAUUCUGGCCGAAAAUGUCUGCGGUGGGUUAAUUUAUUCUAUAAUUUAAAGAAUUCCAUUAUUGGAAUGCACUUAAUGAAAGAGAAGCAGAAUCCUGAGUGUGAGCUAAAACUGGAAUAAAAAUAGGCCCAUUCUUCAGGCAACAUUAAUGGAAGCUUUGUAUAUAAAUAACUUUAUAUUUUGGUGAAUAAAUGGCACUUACAACUACAAUGUCUAUGAGUGAUUCACUGGGUUCUAAAAACUGGCCUUGCCUUCUGUGGUCAGCCAUCUUUUUUCUUUGGGACUCCACUAUUCUCGACAGAAAACAGUUAAUCCGAUAUGAUUUAGUAUCUCACAAAAGAUUCUGCUAAAACAUUUUCUGCCAAAUGUUCAUCUUCUAACAGCUGCUUUUUUAUGUCAGUGAGAGGUACUUGAAAUAAAAUCAUUGUUCUCUGUGAAAACUGCCUGCCCCAUAAUACAGAGCUACCGUAUUAUUAAACAGUAAAGAUAUCUGAUAAUAUUAGCACCAACCACAGGUUCCUCUUCUGCUGAUGCACAAAAUUUUGAGUAAUUAGUCAUUGCACAAUAUCGUAUUUAUAUCCUUUUUUUGCUUGAGCUGUUAGGCCACAAAAUCAGUAGGCAGUUGCUGUUAUAAAAGGGUUCUCCGGGUUAUUUAUAAUGUUUCUGGUUCCUACAGUUGCUGGUUCACUCUCGGGUCUUGGGCUAGUUGUACAUGGUGGGAACGAAGGAUGGAACUGAACAAUUGUUCCCAGAGUCUCACUGCUGAAGGCUGGUGUGGAUGAUUCACAACAAACUGUGGAUGCCUUGGCUGGAAUACCUGGUGUUUUGUCUACCCAACCCCAAUUCAUCACAUACUGGCUGAUUUGUCACUUCAUCAGGGGGAGAGCGUGUAGUUACGUGAAGGCUGUGUUCGUAUCUGGAGAAAGCUGGCGUCUCAGGCACAGGCGUUAGGGGAGAUAUCUCAACGAGCACUGUGUUGCAAAAGAGUUCCCUUCACAUGCUGUUUACUUUAAGUGAAGGAUAAAUUUCUGCUCCAAAUGCCUCUCUGUUGCACAGAUCAGUGAUUCCCCAAAAUGGGGGUGGCAGGCAGCCAGACAUGCCCAAUGUAAGGGCAUGCAGGGAUCAUCUGAGCAUUUCAUUUUAUUUUCUGUAAACUACACCGCUGUAUUCCUGUGCCAUCUGCAGAGAAUCGCCAGUGAUACGGACUGUUUCUGAUGGGAGUAUGUCUUGGUCCUUAGUGUCACUGAAACAUUUCACAAUUUAUAACCAAGGAAGGAAGGGAGGACGCAGGCGAUUUGGUUGGCCCCGGGAUGACUGAGGGAAGUAGUCAAUGAGUGGUUCACCUCUCCUUCAGGUUUGGUCACUCAAUGACGAGAAUGAAUGGAAGUGGUCUGUGCCCGAAACUUUGAUAUCUGGACUGGAAAGAUCCUGCCACACUACUAUCCGUGCAGUCCAGCUCCUUGUCCUGUACAGGAAGAUGCUGGAAUCAAAUGGCAGUGGGACCUGGGUUUCUUUCCACUCCGUGGACUGGAGAGUAUAUGCGCUCCUGGUACAUGCUUCCUGGUACCCCGACAUGAUCCAGUGUUUUCCUCUCCCAACCCUUUUCCAAGUCCUGGCAAUCAACAGUGAGGGGAGCUCAAACUGUAUCUUGGCUAUAAGGUCUGCCUCGUGAGGGAUUAGCAGGAGGAGAAAAGUGAGGUCAUAAGCCGCCUGAGAGCGAGUAAUGCCCUCCUGACAGAAAAGUGAAGGAGCCCAUUUGUUCCAGAGAAAAUGCCUCCCUGGGAGUUCCUCGCCUCGCCAAGUGAAUUAUCUCCUCUUUAUUGGACUUAUGAAGAGGCUGAACAGUGGUGUGCAGAACAGGCAAGGAUUUUCAUAAUGACAGUGCGGGAUGAGAGGACAAAGAUAGCAUAAAAAGGCUGAGGGAGAUUCUACACCCAGAAAAUAACUAGCCUUGUUUCCUGUGUCACCUUCGCUCCAAUGGCGGGGGGGACGCUGAGGGCCCAUUCAGUAGAUUCAGCGGAGCUAUGAAGUGGAAGAUUCUUUAUCACAAGAGUAUCUGCUCAUCGGUGAAGGGCCUAGACGGAUCUUUUUGUUAUUGUUGUUUGACCUCUGUUUUCUAAACUGAUAUAAUUCACAUACCAUAAAACUCACCCUUUAAAAGUGUGCGAUUCAGUGGUUGUCAGUAUAUCCACAAGGUUGUGCACCCAUCACCACCAUCUAAUUCCAGAACAUUUUCCUCGCCCCAGAAAGGACUCCUGUACCCGUUAGCAGUCAGUCUCCCUGCCCCCUCUUCCCAGCUGCUGGAAGCCAGCCAUCUACCCUCUGUUUCUAUAGAUUUAUCUAUUCUGGACAUGUCAUCUACAUGGAAGCAUAUAAUUUGUGGCUUUUUAUG
This is a long non-coding RNA of Callorhinus ursinus (northern fur seal), 3125 nucleotides long. RefSeq lists it as uncharacterized. NCBI's taxonomy places the organism in Eukaryota, Metazoa, Chordata, Mammalia, Carnivora, Otariidae. The record is from RefSeq and is a predicted model, not a curated record.